UUGAACGCUGGCGGCAUGCUUUACACAUGCAAGUCGAACGGUAACAGGCCGCAAGGUGCUGACGAGUGGCGAACGGGUGAGUAAUGCAUCGGAACGUGCCCAGUCGUGGGGGAUAACUACUCGAAAGAGUAGCUAAUACCGCAUACGAUCUAUGGAUGAAAGCGGGGGACCGUAAGGCCUCGCGCGAUUGGAGCGGCCGAUGUCAGAUUAGGUAGUUGGUGGGGUAAAGGCUCACCAAGCCAACGAUCUGUAGCUGGUCUGAGAGGACGACCAGCCACACUGGGACUGAGACACGGCCCAGACUCCUACGGGAGGCAGCAGUGGGGAAUUUUGGACAAUGGGCGCAAGCCUGAUCCAGCAAUGCCGCGUGCAGGAAGAAGGCCUUCGGGUUGCAAACUGCUUUUGUACGGAACGAAACGGCUCUGGUUAAUACCCGGGGCUAAUGACGGUACCGUAAGAAUAAGCACCGGCUAACUACGUG
RNAcentral lists this ribosomal RNA (481 nucleotides) under uncultured bacterium. RNAcentral's name for it is "partial 16S ribosomal RNA". It matches the Rfam family "Bacterial small subunit ribosomal RNA", at positions 30 to 507 of the family's 1533-position model. The record is from RNAcentral.